GACGAACGCUGGCGGCGUGCUUAACACAUGCAAGUCGAACGGAAAGGCCCUGCUUUUUUGGUGUGCUCGAGUGGCGAACGGGUGAGUAACACGUGAGUAACCUGCCCUUGACUUUGGUAUAACUUCAGGAAACUGGGGCUAAUACCGGAUAGGAGCUCCUGCUGCAUGGUGGGGGUUGGAAAGUUUCGGCGGUUGGGGAUGGACUCGCGGCUUAUCAGCUUGUUGGUGGGGUAGUGGCUUACCAAGGCUUUGACGGGUAGCCGGCCUGAGAGGGUGACCGGCCACAUUGGGACUGAGAUACGGCCCAGACUCCUACGGGAGGCAGCAGUGGGGAAUAUUGCACAAUGGGCGGAAGCCUGAUGCAGCAACGCCGCGUGCGGGAUGACGGCCUUCGGGUUGUAAACCGCUUUCGCCUGUGACGAAGCGUGAGUGACGGUAAUGGGUAAAGAAGCACCGGCUAACUACGUG
This 468-nucleotide ribosomal RNA is filed under the name uncultured bacterium. RNAcentral describes it as "partial 16S ribosomal RNA". It matches the Rfam family "Bacterial small subunit ribosomal RNA", at positions 28 to 507 of the family's 1533-position model. The record is from RNAcentral.